AUCGACCAAAGAUUUUGUUUGUUUGGAUAAACAACUUAGUUAAACGCUUUUAGAAUAAGGCUAUCUUAUAAUUGCUUACUUAUAAGCCAUUUUCUAAAACCAAAGAUGAAACAAAGUCAUAUUAUUUUCAUAAGUUAUUCUAAAGAGCUUAUGGAUACGAAUGAAAACCAACUUAUGGACAUGUCAUAAGUUAUUUUCAUAAGCUUUCCUGAGCAAUCUCACAAGUCUUUAUAUCAUCACAUAAGUUCAAGUAAUUCAUUCCAAACAAGCCAUUUGAACAAUUAUGAAGAAAUUUUAUUUUUUAUUUCUACUAAGGAAGGUUUGGUUAUCCUUAGGGAAGUUAUGCUUCAUUCAAUGAUUAUGAAAGUCUAGCAGUGACAAUUCCAUCCAUUAAUCCAUGAUCCGUCCAUUCAUUACUCCAUCGAUUAGUUAAGAGAGUCUAUGAUAGACAAAAUAAAAGGAGUUAAGGGGAAUUAAUAAUUGUAAGAGCGGAUAUUCUGUCUUGCAUCCUAUGGCAGAUCUAAUUUCAAGCUGGUCAGUUUUUCUUAUUUCUCCGCUUUGAAUAGAUCCUAGAAUGCAAUACUUGAAUACAGAAGAUUUGACAUAUUCAGAUUAAUUGCAUAGUUAUUGCAAAGGUUAUGUAAUUCUGUUAACUAUAUUUUACAUCACAUGUCAUGAGAUCUAAAUAGUUCUCAAGGGUACUGAAGUGUUACCCCUUGAAUAUAUCAUUGUUCUGUGUAGAGAAACGACUGUUCUAUAAUACCAAACAAUUUUUGUUUUGAAUAUUUGAUUAUAUUGUGACAUUUCAUCUGUUCUUA
This is a long non-coding RNA of Medicago truncatula (barrel medic), 818 nucleotides long. RefSeq lists it as uncharacterized. Lineage: Eukaryota; Viridiplantae; Streptophyta; Magnoliopsida; Fabales; Fabaceae. The transcript has 2 exons. The record is from RefSeq and is a predicted model, not a curated record.